CGCUGUACACCACGUCGCACAGCACCACCCACGUGCCUACAUCGCGCGGACGGAUCGACUAGAUUCUGUUCGCGCCAUGUCGUCCGAAGACUACGAAGAGAGUGGCGUCGCCUCUGAUCGUGAGCGCGAUGCGAACGAUGAUGUUGAGGGGGAAGACAGCGAAUCAGCGUCCGACUCCGCGGAGGAGCUGAAGCCGCGUUCCUUACACCCCUCCGACAAGGAAGCGGUGGAAGAGGAAGAAGAGGAGGACUACGACGCACUCGACGACGCACCCGCGCCAAAACCGCUCCCAAAGACGAUCAGCCUAAUGCUACCUCGGAAAGCGUCAGCGGGGGCGGCGUGCGAACCAACGCGCGUGUACGUGUGCCUGACACGUGGCAUGAUUGGUCGAUCUCUGGAACGCGAUGCCCACAGCGAGGACAGCGACAGCGAUGGGGAAGACGAGGAGGCCGCUGCCUCGUCAACCGCUCCACUGGCAGCGGCAGCAGGGAGAGUUGGCGCCGACGAUGAAGCAGGAGAGGAUGAAGUGAGCAGUGCCGCCGCGACAUUGCAGGGCUGCUGCGCAGACCAUCACCACUACGAGACCGACUACGCGGCGCCCCUGGCGGCAUUGCGGCGUCGCCUCAUCCUUCGGCACCUUCACGGUAACCAAAAAUGUCAGCAGCGCUUCCUGUUGUCCGAACGCGCGCGCGAGAAGCGGGCAGCUCAGUCACCCCACGGCGACGCAGCAGUUGGGGAAGAAGGGAGCGACGGCAGUGGGGAGGCAGAAAACAGCAGCACCAACCCACUCGAAACGAUGGUGUGGCCGUGGACGGCUGUGCAGAAACCUCCGCCGUACUGGCUUCCAGCUCUUCUAUCCAACGACAUUCACACAUUUCAGCGCAUUCUUCAAAUCAUGUACGGCUGGAUCAUUGCCCCAGACCCGCACCCAUCCGACCAGCUGCAGCUCGACGCGGCUGGGCAACUUUGCACCGCCACACCAGGUACCAAGAAAGAAAGGGAUGACGAGGACGCCGAGGACUCCGAGAAGGCAGACUUUUUCCUCGCCUCCGGCGCCUUUCCUGGCGCUGGCAGUCAGGAGACGAGCACCGACAGCGCGAAUCGGGAGAGCCCGGCACCCGCGCGGUGCACGUCGAAGAGCUUGCUCGGCGCCUUCAACGAGUGUGAGGUCGACGAAGAGCAGCGCCACUCGGACGAGGAGUCGCCGAACCAGCAGCCCGACCUGGAAUCACAGGAUAGCCCCAGCUGCUCACGCGCGAUGCAGAGCAUUUCCACAGCCCCACCACCUGUCGCCGCACUGCCGUAUUUCCCGUUCGCCGAGUACGAGUUUUACAUCGUGUUCGACGAGGCUAGUGAGGAAUGGCACCUUCUGGACACGCACCCGCUCUUCGUGAUGGAGGCCUGUCGACGCCGACGAGCAGAGCAGAUGAGUCACGAAGGGGACCAGCCGGAGGCCGAGACGAGGGACGGCGCUGACCUCGGAAGUGACGAGGAGACCGCGAGCGAGGCAGAGAGCGAAGGAGAGGAAGAGAACGAGGAAACGGUGAAGGGCAGCUGUCAUGUCCCACGGUACGCACUGGACACUAUAGUCCCUGUAAGCCCCGUCAUUCUGGCGGCGCUCUUCUCCCCCGCUGCGUUGCGGUGUUGUCUCCUGCAGCCUCUUCAGGCAGAGCCGCGCAAUGAGGAAGACUCUGAUGAGGCGGAGGGCCACGACGCGGACAGCGGCGCGGCCGCUGCAGCGUCUCUGCGAAGUGUCUCCCCUCACGCUGUGCUGCGAACCUUUGACCACGCCUGGCUGUCUGUGGACAUGUCAGUUGCUCUCCCCAUUUUGGCGACCAUCUGCCGCGCCCGGCAACGUGUCCUGCAGCAGGAUGCACUGCGAAUUCCCUACGCACUCGGCAAUUUGUGGAUCGAUGUGAACCCCCUCUACGCGCUGUCCGCCUUCGCCGACGUCGUCAAUGCUGCCGGGGUCGAUGAGGUGCGUCUGUGGAGAGCGCCGCCGGGGCAGCACCCGGAAGACGACGACGACGACGGGGACAGCGAUAGUGGCGAGGUUUCGGCAGAAGGAAGCACGAUGAGGGCGGCAGAGCUGUGCUCCCCACACCGGUGGGGCACCGCCCUGGACAGCAUCGCUGACCCCGGCCAUUACGGCCGCCUGGUGUUGAACGCUCUGUUAGAUGCCGGCCUGCUCCCUACGCGGCCGGUAGAGCUGGCGAUCUUUCAUCACCUCAGUCUCUUGCGCCUGGCGCUGUGGUGGUGGAUGCGGUUGCCCCCGAAGCUGAUUCAGAAGUGGGGUGUCGACGCAGCAGACGAUGGGCACGUCGCGGAUGACAGUGCAGACGACGAUGCCGGCAUGGCGGAAAUGUCCGACGAGGAGGCAGAGGACGAGGGCGUCACCGAUGAGGAGCUGAACGAGAUGACGGUCAACGAUGUCACCGAGUUCCUCCUACAGCGCAUUGAGAAUAUGAACGACCGCGACGCCCGUUUGCGGAGUCUCCGCUUGCGCAAGCGGCACCCAACGGUGGCGUUUGCGCCGCUUCUUCAGCGUGUGCUGCUGGAACUGCAGAGGCGCCUCAAUCGCAUGAGCGCCGUGGACGCGCGCCGCGUGCCACUAGCCCCGUCGCAGUACACGCUGCAGGAGAGCGUGGCGCGCACGUACGUUGCAGAGCGACUUGAGAGCGGGCAUCCUCAUCAGGACCCUCUCGUGACCGCUGCUUUUGUUGGUCUCGCCGGUCGCACCCCUGCCGCUACUCACGAAAUGUCGGCUGCGCCUGUGGCAGUGGGAGCCGCACACGCUGCCGCCGUACGUCAUCAGCGGCUGUAUCAGAGCGACCUCGUCCUGCUCCUGUUGGCCCUCACGACGACACCAGCACCUCUGCCCUCGCGUGCCGCGACGAUCCUCGACGUCGACGACCGAUUCGCCUCCGUUGUUGAGGAGAACGCCUGCGCGGCAGAAGAGAAUUUGAAAGAGGCACAGAGCGACGACGUCGACGCCCACACCGCACUCUUCUCGUACCUGCUAGAGGUGAAGUCGAUGCGGUUUGUGCGGCGCCCGCAAGACCGCAUCCGCGCCGGGACCACCAAACUGCUUCUGCUCUGCGCUGUUGACUUCUGCCGUGGUGCGACGCGGCAGCGCGUCUUUGGACACGUACCGCCAUUUGAACUGUUCGGGAGCACCGGAUAUUGCCCCCUGUCUGAUCUAGUCCAGGCGUGGUCGUGCACCUGCAGGAGUGACCGGAAUGGCAACCGCGCCAAGAAAGCGGCCACGGUGCAGGUGUUUGCUUACUAUAUGUGGAAUGAGAUUCGGUGGCGCCUCCGCAAGGGUCAGUACAGCGACGCUGCGGUUGGCAGGAUGCGUGAGCGGCUGCCAGAGCUUUUCGAGCUGAUCGACUCUCACAGCAGCACCUACGACGCCAUCCUCGCCCACCUCGACGCUGAAGCAGCAGCGGACAGCGAAACCGACCGCAGCGGCGGUGACGGGUCGAUGAGUGCGUUGGUAGCGGAAAGCCGCACCCCGUCCACUGAUGCUUCGCUGCGUGCCUCUGGUAAGCAAAAUUAUGAUGUUGCAUCCUCGCCGGCGGCCGCCGCACAGCCCGAAAGGCAUUCCCUGAUUAGCACUGAAGUGCUCAACGCCAUCCGGGCGGAGGAGCGUGGGGAGGUCGACCUAGCCCCCACCUCGGUCUCGCUGCCUCUCACGCUGGCUUACCCCAACGCCUACAGUGCGCAUGUCCUCGAGUCGAAGGCGCGCGUCAACGCGCUCUGGCAGUCCUUCGCGGUUUCCUCGCAUACCUACAUGACCGCUGAGACGCUGCACACGUUGCUUUUUGGUUCGGAUGCUCACCACAGGGGAGACGCGGCGGGGGUCGCCGUUGGUGCGGCUGGCGGCACUCGCCGCUUUCACACUGCGGCUUUGAGGGUCAUGUUCGAAAACGGCAUCACGUCUGUGCAGGCGUGUCCACUGGAUGGCCCAGAGACACCCGCCAUCGAAGAGGCGCUGCAGCGGGCCGACCUGCCAGCAGUGAAAAUUCUGCUAGGCCUCGGCGCCGCAUCGCUGCGGGAUACCUGCCGGAACGGUAGCGCAACGUUGCAGUCGUAUGCGGAGAAGUUAUUUAGCCCGGCCGAGAUGGACGUCCUUCGCUUUGUGGCAUGCAAGAACAAGCGGGUGAUGCGGUCUGACCCGCGGCUGCAUUUCGGCGCCCGUCGCUUCGGCAGCGCCGUGGCGAACCCGUGAGACAGGAAAUGCUGGCCAGAGCGAAGAGGGGCACGCCGCUGGAUGAAGUGUUCUAGCCCCUCCGCUCUGCCACCGCCCCAGCUCCCCUCGGGAUGGGACAGGGGCGUGGAGGAAAGGACACAAAAGGCGGUGUCGGCGUUCGCGCGCUCUUCACCGCUGGGCCUUCCUACUUGGCGACCCAUCCACUCCCCGACAUUCUCUCCGGGUCUCCCGCUUUCUUCCCGGCGCACACAGGUGCGUGCGUGCUGUUGCUACGGCGGCACUUUCUAUUCCAUGCAUGCCUCCCUCUUUGGGCGUGUUUGUGUGUGCAUAACGGUUGCGUCCAUCCUCGCCAGUCGCGUGCGUCCACCCCACCGUGACCACACUCCUCACGGUGUUCUUCCUCCUUAGUUCAUGCACACAGGAAAUCUCAUCUGAUGUACAAUAAAGGGCCCCUCAAGCCCUUGUUUCUCAUGUUUCUGUGCUUUCCUUUCAGUCCUGCCUCGUCCCACGCUCCCACCUGUACCAUUCUCGGCUUCAGCGAGCCGAAGGGGAGAAGAGGCGGGAAAGCUGCAACUGCGAUCACGACAAUGGCAUCUUCUCAUGUAUCCGCAUCGGAUGGAGUGCAGCCAAGGGCAAACUUGGGCACCACCACGCGGUCAAGCACACGACAGCGCACAAGAAGGACAAGAAAAUGAUUUGUCACUUUGACGGUGCUCACUGCAAGAUGGCGACGACGUCUGUGUCGACGUAGUCGUCGACGCUGCAAACCCCAAAGGUGUGCUCGAGCGCACAUCCGCUCUCCCUUCUUCACCUCUGUCCCACCCCUCCCCUUCAG
This 5048-nucleotide unclassified non-coding RNA is filed under the name Leishmania donovani. RNAcentral describes it as "gene:LdHU3.33.1880(CDS-product:hypothetical_prote in_conserved)". Lineage: Eukaryota; Euglenozoa; Kinetoplastea; Trypanosomatida; Trypanosomatidae. The record is from RNAcentral.